GAUGAAGAACGUAGUGAAAUGCGAUAAGUAGUGUGAAUUGCAGAAUUCAGUGAAUCAUCGAAUCUUUGAACGCACAUUGCGCCCCUUGGUAUCCCGAGGGGCAUGCCUGUUCGAGCGUCAUUUCAACCCUUAAGCCUAGCUUAGUAUUGGGAAUCGACUUUACUGUCGUUCCUCAAAUUCAACGGCGGAUUUAUAGCAAUCUCUGAACGUAGUAAUUUUUUUUCUCGUUUUUGAAAUACUAUAAACCUCAGCCGCUAAACCCCCAAUUUCUUAUGGUUGACCUCGGAUCAGGUAGGAAUACCCGCUGAACUUAAGCAUAUCAAUAAGCGGAGGA
RNAcentral lists this unclassified non-coding RNA (334 nucleotides) under soil metagenome. Its description in RNAcentral is "partial contains 5.8S ribosomal RNA, internal transcribed spacer 2, and large subunit ribosomal RNA". The stretch from base 1 to 120 matches the Rfam family "5.8S ribosomal RNA", at positions 35 to 154 of the family's 154-position model. The record is from RNAcentral.